This 5940-nucleotide long non-coding RNA is filed under the name Sus scrofa (pig). RNAcentral's name for it is "lncRNA (ENSSSCG00040015319.1)". The record is from RNAcentral. Lineage: Eukaryota; Metazoa; Chordata; Mammalia; Artiodactyla; Suidae.
UGAUUUGACCCCUAGCCUGGGAACUUAAUGUAUGCCGUAUGCCAUGAGUGUGGCCCUAAAAAGGCAAAAGGCCAAAAAAAAAAAAAAAGAAAGAAAGAAAGAAAGAAAACAUAUAAACACUGUAGCAACAGUAAGUGCACUUCCAAUGAAAUGGGGAAAAUAUUCACCAAUAAUCCCUAGAUGUGAGAUGGGCACAUUGUGGGGUAGACAGUUGGUACAGUCUUACAGAGUCGGCUAUGGCAAAUUGGCAGAGCGAGUAGGCUCGAGCACCAGCAUUGCUUGGGAUUUGAUUCCUGGUUCCUGCACUUAUGAGCUAUGUGACCUCAGUGCCUGGUACAAAGCAAGCACUUCAUAUCAAUUAGCUAUCAUCAUUAUUAUUCUCUCGGUCUGGACCUUCCAGGCUGCCUGUACAGCUGGGCACCUUCUGGUGUCCCCUCUCUCACUGCUGGUGUUUCUCAUUACCCAGUGAUCCCCGAGGCAAAUGGAACUAUGUAGCAGAUACUACAUAUUAAAGGCUUUUUACAUAUUAACUUUAAUAUUCACAAUUACCUUCAAUUAUAGCCUGAUGAUCCUGAGUUCUGGCUUACUGAUCAGCUGGGAAGGAAUCUGGAUUCAGAUUCUACAUCUCUUUUUCCUGUGUUAUCUUUGGCAAGUCACUUCACAUCUCUGGGCUUCAGUUUCUAUAUUUGGUAAAUGAUGAGAGUCAUUCCUAUUUCAUAGGGUCACUGAGGGUUUAAGUAAGGUAGGGCAUAUGAAAGCAUUUCGCACACACAGUGCUUGGCACAUAGUAUAUGUUUAAAAGAUGUUUAUUACUAUUAUAUCCAUUUUGCAGAGAGGAAAUUGAGCCUUAGCUGAAGUUCUUGCCCAAGGUCAUAAAUCUGAUGUUGAAAGAAGGUGGGCCAAAACAAUGUUCUUUGUUAUUUCCUUCCAACCUAUAUACAUGAUUUUUGUGCAAUUCCUAUUGUAUGAUAAGAGUACAGACAUGAUGUGGUAUUUUUAAAAAUUGCACAAUGAUGGAAGGUAAUAUGAGAAAAAGAAUAUAUACAUAUAUAUAAGUAAAUAUUAUAUAUAUAUAAAAACUGUGUCACUAUGCUGUAAGCACCAUAAAUCAACUAUAAUAAAAUUAAAAUUUAGGAGUUCCCGUCAUGGCUCAGUGAUAACGAACCUGACUAGUAUCCAUGAGGAUGUGGGUUUGAUCCCUGGCCCUGUUCAAUGGGUUAAGGAUCUAACAUUGCCGAGAGCUGUGGUGUAGGUCAAAGAGGAGGCUUGGAUCUGGCGGUGCUGUGGCUGUGGUGUAAGCCAACAGCUGCAUCUCUGAUUUAACCCCUAGCAUGGGAGCUUCCAUAUGCUGCUCCUGUGGCCCUAAAAUAAAUAAAUAAAUAUAAAAAUAAAUUUAAAAAAGGUACAAACACAAAUUGCACAUUAAAGAAUAAGUAAUUUUCAUAUUGCUGUGGCAAUAUGAAAACCUGACUAUAUAAUAUUCCACAAAAUAAUCCAGCAUCUUCAUGCUGAUUAUUUCCUUUCCUUCUCUUGAACUUUUUCUUUAGGAUUAAUCCCCAGAAAUGGAAUUUGAUACAUCAGAGGGUGUUAACCUUAUUUUGAUUCUGGAUCACAGAACAUCUUGCUGCUUUUCUAAAGAGUUUUGCAAUAGUCAUUGUGUUCGUGUGCUGUAAUUUACUUUCUAGUCUCCUAGAAAUACUUGAACAUUGAAAAAGAAUGAAUAACCUUGUUAUAGAUAAGUCGUCUCCAGGCUGAAAAGGAGUGAAUAGGUUGGGGUUAGAUGAUAAUCCUGUCUGAAAACCUGUGACUAAGUAACCCCAGUUCCUGGAUGUGGGUAUAUAGGUCUUGUCUACUAGAUACGGUGCUGACAUCCCCUGGUUGAGGAGUGCAUAUGUGAUCUAUAAAUGUCCAGCUCAGGCUCUGGGCAUCUGAGGGGCCGAGUAUUACCAGGAGGGUAUGCCUUGUUUCCUGGGUCCUGCGGAUCACCUGGCUCACCUCCAGAAGAGGCCUCUUGCUCUUAAAGAAACCUGGAUCUGAGGUGCAGGUGCCCAAGUGGGAGGCACUCUUCAUAUUCUUUACUCAGGGUGUGGAGUCCAAGAGAACAGAACUCACAUCCUUCUUCCUUCACUAUUCAUCUUGGGAAUCUACAGAAAGCUUUGAGAGCCUGUUUCUUUAUCUAUACCAGGAGGAGGGUGAUAAGGUAGAUCAUAAAUAUUUAACAAGCCUUCAAAUGUCUUCUGUGUUAAAUCACACCCCUCUCAAACAACUCUAUGGAGGAGGUAUUGUCACUAUUCUCAUUUUACAAAUGAGAAAACUGAGGUACAGACUGGUUAAAUAACUUACAUUCAGUAAGUGGAGGAGCCAGGGUUUGAACCCAGGCUCUUGGGCUCUAGCGCUUCAAUACCAUGCACAAUGCUGAGUAAUAUGGGGAGUCAAAAGCCUUAGCUUUAAGGGCUCUUGUGAGGAUUGGGGAUGAUGGCACAUCAGGUGUAUGGCUUCUGGUUGUGCUGUUGUACAGAAAUGGUCACUCUUACUAUUUGUUAAUGACUUCCAUAUUACCCAACCCAAUAAACACUUUUCUGUUUUUGUUUUUCCUGACUUCUCAAUAGCUUUAAAAGGAGUUGACCAUUUCCUCUUUUUUUUUUUUUUAGACUCAUAGGUCAUGGGGUUGGUUUUUCCUCUUUAUCUCUCUCUUUCUUUUUUUUUUUUUUUUCAAUUUAAACAGUUAUGCACCAGAGUGAUUCAAAAAGUUGGGCAAAUGCCUUGAAUAUGAAAGCUGCAGUUUGCACUAUACCAUAUCUAGAACCCAGGGGCGGUGGAUUAGACAGAAGUGAUAGUCAUUGAACAGUCAGGUGACAUCAUGACAAAUUGGUUUGCAGCAUCAAAACUGUCCGUUGAAGUUUCUUUUCUCUUGACUAUCAGAGGUCCUGUGUUGGCUCGUCUCCUCAUCUUUGUGUUUUGUGUAUGAUCCAUCACAGAAUGGGAACUUUUUGGCCUCCAACAACCUUGGUACACAGCCUUAUCUCUCAAAUCCUCCACAUCAAAAGCAUUCACUGUCUUGGAGUUUUCUUUCUGGUUAUGAAGGUUGCCCAUAGAUUUGCUGCAAUGAUCUUUAACAUAAAAUCUAUUGUAAACUAGGUAACCAAUUGAAGCUGUCCCGUCCCAGCAGUAAUGGUAAUGACUGUGAUCCAUUUGACUUGUGAACUGGAGGUCAGACUUGUGGCACCACCACUUUGAAGGUGUGUACACUGGACACUGAACACAAGCAUGGCUUGUACGGCCAACCUGAGUCAAGGUGCGAGAAGCAUUUCAAGGGCACUGACUCCAAGCUGCUCCCUUCUUGAAACACUUUUUUCUUCUGGCUUUAGUGACAGCCACUCUUGAGAGUUUGCAUUUAUUCCACUGGCUCUUCCUGUUCAGCCUCUUUCCCUCUCUCUUCUAUCAAUGGAUGAAAGUUGGUGCAAAAGAUAAACUUGCUCCCCUUUGUAGUCGAAGAGCAUGGUUACUUAGUGAGGAAGGUGGAACAGCCAGGAACCUGGAUGGGUGGCUGAAGGCACUGGAUGGGAGGGAAUGUCUCCAGUGACUCAGAAGCUGCCCAAGAUACACUGGCGAGUUUCAUCCCUCCUGGCCCAGAGCACCUUCCAAACCUGACUUCUGCUCUUAUCAAUCCCACCUGAGGUAUAGGAGUUGCUGUAUAUAAACGAUCUUGAUCUCAGGGAAAGCUCUGGAGACCUGGGGUUUUAGAAGAAUUACUAACAGCGGUUAAUAUUUUCAUUCACAGACAGAAAAUGGAAUUUAAUUAAACAGAUUUUCUUCCCCUUGAACUGUUCAUGCCAAAUCUUCAGAGACUCAUGCUCAUUGCUAAAAAAAUGUUUUUACUCCUUAACGUUGGGAGCAUGGGAUAUAAGAAGACACACUGUGAGGAGGUUUAAGAAAUGCUAUUUUAUUAUCUUGCUUAGGUUAAAAAAAAAUCCCACUUAAAUUCUAAGAAAAAAAAAAAAGAGUCAUGCAUUAAUCAGAAAGCAGGCCUCCUAGAAACAGCUGUGAAAAAGGCUAAACUAAAAGGGGGGAAGAAUGACAGCUUUAUUCCAGAUAUGAAUCUCAACACUGCUCAGCACAGGCAAUGCAUAAAAUUGCUGUAGGGCAAGCAGACAUGAUGGCUUAUUUAUUUAAUUGAGUUGAGAGAAUCAUAAUUUCUUUUAAGCCUCUGAGCAAAAUGUAAUGUAUUUUAGCACUCAGGAAUAAUGUUCAGGGAAGUCAUAGGGCAGAAAACUAUUUGAAUGAGAAUGGGGUCCUCUGUUUAUCAGGCUAAUGGAAGUGAAGGGGCAGGGGAAAGUUAGGGAGUUUUUGAUUAUUCCUUGUUCUUCACCUCUCAGAUCCAUCUUCUUCCCUGCUCUGUGCCUCAGCAGUGGGUUCUCUCCAGCCUCUUCCCUCUAGCUUCAGGUCAGGUCCAGGCAACAGAAAACACCAGCAGGAGAUUAGGAGGCGGAAGGAGAGAGGUCAGAGUAUUUAUACCUCCUCACUGUGGUUCUGUUCUUCCAAGGCAGUGGUUCUCAAAGAUUGGGCAGCACACCAGCAGCAUCAGCAUCUCCCAGGAGCUUCUUAGAAAUGCAAGUUCUGGAGUUCCUGCUGUGGUGCAACAGGAUAGGUGGUGUCUCUGGAGCACUGGGUCUCAGGUUCAGUCUCCCACCCAAUGGAUUAUGGAUCUGGUGUUGCCGCAGUGUUGGCAUAUGUCUCAGCCACAGCUCAGAUCUGAUCCCGGGUCCAGGAACUCCAUAUGCUGUGGGGAGGUCAAAAAAGAAAAUAAAGAAAGAGAAAUAUAUAUACAUGCAAAAAUUUUCUUUUUUUAAAAAAAUUACUCAAUGACUUUUAGUACAUUUAUAGUUGUACAGUGAUCAUCACAACCCGAUUUCAUAGCAUUUCCAUCCCAAACCUCUGGCCCAUUCCUUACCCCACAACCUGUCUCAUUUGGAAACCAUACGUUUUUCAAAGUCUGUGAGUCAGUAUCUGUUCUGCAAAGAAGUUCAAUGUGUCCUUUUUUUAGAUGCCACAUGUAAGUGAUAGCAUUUGAUGCUGGUGUCUCACUGUCUGACUGACUUCACUUAGCAUGAUAAUUUCUAAGUCCGUCCAUGUUGCCAAAAAUGCUGGUAUUUCAUUCAUUUUAAUGGCUGAGUAAUAUUCCAUUGUGUAUAUGUACCACAUCCUCUUUAUCCACUCCUCUGUCAAUGGAUAUUUCCAUGUCUUGGCUAUUGUAUAUAUUGCUGCAAUGAACAUUGGAGUACAUGUAUCUUUUCAGGUCAUGGUUAUCUCUGGAUAGAUGCCCAGGAGUGGGAUUGGUGGAUCAAAUGGUAAUUCUAUUUUUAUCUAAGGAAUCUCCAUAAUGUUUUCCACAGUGGUUGCACCAAUUUACAUUCCCACCAACAGUGCAAUAGGCUUCCCUUUUCUCUAUACCCUCUUCACCAUUUAUUGUUUGUAGACUUUUUUGAUGAUGGCCAUUCCAGCCUGUGUAAGGUGGUACCUCAUAGUGGUUUUGGUUUGCAUUUCUCUAAUAAUGAGUGAUGUUGAACAUCUUUUCAUGUGUUUUUUGGCCAUCUGUAUGUCUUCUUUGGAGCAUUGUCUGUUUAGAUUUUCUGCCCAUUUUUUGAUGGGGUUGUUUUUUUGGUAUUGAGCUGUAGGAGGUGUUUAUAAAUUCUGGAGAUUAAUCCCUUUUCAGUUGAUUCAUUUGCAAAUAUUUCCUCCCAUUCUGUGGGUUGUCUUUUCAUUUUGUUUAGGGUUUCCUUUGCUGUGCAGAAACUUUUAAGCUUAAUUAAGUCACAUUUAUUAUUUAUGCAUAGGUUGCAACCACAGCUCAGAUCUGAUCCCUGGCCCAGGAAGUCCAUAUGCUGUGGAGAGGGCAAAAAAGAAAAGAAAGAAAGAAAGAAAGAAAAAAAAUAUAUAUGC